GUGUUAGACAUAGAAAUCAAUAGUAAAACGAGUGAAUAAACAUUAGUCUGAUUAACGCUUAGAGUGUGAGUGACAGUCAAUAAUACAUUGAAUUUAUUAUCAAAUCAUUGAUUCAAUACAUUAUUAUACCUAUUAUUAUACGACUAUUCAUAUGUAUGACUGAAUAUUAUUGACAAAAAUAUGGCAACUCAUUAGGUCUGAGCCAUUGACAAAGUAAACCAAUCUAUCAUUGAAUCAAUCAUUUGGUCAAACAGUCAUCAACUAUUGCAGCACUGCUUGAGCAUCGAAAGAGCAGCCAAAGGACGACAAGAGUGAGAAACUGAGCAAAAACCGAUCGAUUGACUCUUUUUUUGGUACAAGUAUUGGUCUUUUGGUUUGGUAACAGUUGGAGCACUGGUAGUGACAUGAGUGGCAUUGUUAGCACAGUUUGCGACAGACUCGGGCACUGGUAUUUCGUGUAUGAGUUACGCACAUCACUCUACAUGUUAGAGCCCUGGGAGAAGACCACCUUCAAUACAGCACUAUUGGCUUUGAUAGCGAUGGCUAGUUAUACGACUUAUGCAUUUCUACCAACAUAUACACGAAGCGCUCUCUCCUAUUUUGGUCUCAUUUAACAACAAACAAAUCAUUUAUUUUUAUAUUAACUAAAUAAUAGUUUUUCUAUAAAUUAUAAAAAGAUGAAUACAGGAAUAAUAUAACAAAAAAUAUUAAUGCAUUAUGUGUUU
Oppia nitens is the source of this 725-nucleotide long non-coding RNA. RefSeq lists it as uncharacterized. The record is from RefSeq and is a predicted model, not a curated record. The transcript is spliced from 3 exons. NCBI's taxonomy places the organism in Eukaryota, Metazoa, Arthropoda, Arachnida, Sarcoptiformes, Oppiidae.